This 537-nucleotide ribosomal RNA is filed under the name uncultured bacterium. Its description in RNAcentral is "bacterial SSU rRNA". It matches the Rfam family "Bacterial small subunit ribosomal RNA", at positions 773 to 1308 of the family's 1533-position model. The record is from RNAcentral.
AGCGAAUAGAUACCCCGGUAGUCCACGCCCUAAACGAUGGAUACUAGGCGUAAGAGGUAUCGACCCCUCUUGUGCCGCAGCUAAACGCAUUAAGUAUCCCGCCUAGGGAGUACGGCCGCAAGGUUGAAACUCAAAUGAAUUGACGGGGACCCGCACAAGCGGUGGAGCAUGUGGAUUAAUUCGAUACUAACCGAAGAACCUUACCCAGACUUGACAUCGAUCGCAAGCCUUAGAAAUAGGGCCCUCCCCACAAGGGGACGUGAAGACACUUGUUGCAUGGCUGUCGUCAGCUCGUGCCGUGAGGUGUACGGUUAAGUCCGCCAACGAGCGCAACCCUCGUCCUGUGUUACCAGCAUGAAAGAUGGGAACUCACAGGAGACCGCCGGUGUAAAUCGGAGGAAGGUGGGGAUGACGUCAAGUCAGCAUGGCAGUUACGUCUGGGGCUUCACACAUGCUACAAUGGGCGAAACAGAGGGCCGCAAUACCGUGAGGUGGAGCAAAUCCCAAAAAUACGCCCCAGUUCAGAUUGCAGUCUGC